Peromyscus maniculatus bairdii (prairie deer mouse) is the source of this 164-nucleotide non-coding RNA. NCBI's taxonomy places the organism in Eukaryota, Metazoa, Chordata, Mammalia, Rodentia, Cricetidae. The record is from RefSeq and is a predicted model, not a curated record.
UCGACCCCGGGCAGCGUCUCGGAGGUCGGCUACCGCUGCCACCGUCCCGCCUGCCGCCCCGGCCGGCGAGGGUGGCCCCCCUGCACCCCCUCCUAAUCUUACCAGUAACAGGAGACUGCAGCAGACCCAGGCCCAGGUGGAUGAGGUGUGCUAGGCAUGUUCUG